Syngnathus typhle (broad-nosed pipefish) is the source of this 3574-nucleotide long non-coding RNA. RefSeq lists it as uncharacterized. NCBI's taxonomy places the organism in Eukaryota, Metazoa, Chordata, Actinopteri, Syngnathiformes, Syngnathidae. The transcript has 2 exons. The record is from RefSeq and is a predicted model, not a curated record.
GUGAGCGUGUGUGCGGUGGCUCAGCCAGAUGUGAUUCCUGGCGCUGAGGGGGAAUCUCAUCUAUUUUUCAGAGCUCCCGUUUGGCUUCCAAAACCACUUUUGGUGAGCGCUUAAAACUGAGGUGAAGCCAUGGACAGGUUGAAGAGCGCACACACACACGCCGAUGACGGCGGGGCCGAGCAUGGAGACAAUCCAGACGUCGGAGCUUGAUGGAAGGCGACGUUGGAGAAGGUGUAGCGUGGUAGCGGGGAAGCUAAUUAACCACCGUCAGCGUUAAAUGAGCCGAUGAUGGAGGGCGGCCCUCCCGCUGUGCCAUGAGUCAGCAUUUGAAUUCUGAGCUGCGCGAAGAAGAAGACGGCGGCCUUCGAAACGGAACUUCUUUCAAGUGGAUUUGCAGAGUAGCCCAGGCUUGUCAGGCACGUAUUCCAACAUUUUGAUGAAUGAGCGAUUUCUUUGGAGCGACAGAAAAAAGGUAAUUCAAGGGAGAUGUUUUUUAGGGGGGGGGGUUUCCUGAAAAGAAGCAGACAUUUUUAGGAAGCGCAAUGUACGGCAGCUACGUUCCCUGUCGCCCUUCGGAAUAAUUAUUGAUCCUCUUUGCCGCAUUCUUUCAUAGCGGACGUAGAAACGGACUGAAGGAGAUGAAUGUUUGGCUGUGCAAAGAUUCCAGCUUCUCAAAUGGAAGCCGCAUAAAAAUCACUUUCCCUUUUCAAAAUGUCACAGUUGGAACGUGGCCCCGAUGUUUGUUGCUGCUGCUACUGCUGCUGCUUUUAAUUCUGAGCUCAGCGUCCGCCCUCUCAAGCGCACAUCAGGGAGGACACACACAGACACAAAAACACAGCAACAACAUUCAACAGUAGCAGAACUGGCACGACUGGACGCGCACGAACAUUCCUAACCUCUUCCUGCGUGCCGCCAUUUAUAUUCUACACAGGCAAAGAUGCCCUGAACCCGCUGAAACACAUUUGUGGCGGACAAACAAGCUUUUGGCACAGGCGGGGCAGCGUCAGGCGGUCACGUGACCGCCGCCCGUAUUGCGCACAUGCCGUGUGGGGUGGCUUCAUUAACGGGGCAAGCAAUUUCUGGUUAUUAAAUCAAAUGGGAGCGCGAGGCAUGUGCCAGGAGAUGCAAUAUGGACGACGCCGCCGUUUCCCCAAGCCAAGGAGCAUAUUUGAGAUGAGGAAAAAGGUCAUAGCACAAAAGCGGCAUCGUCACUCCACCAGCGCGGCUCAAGGGCGCCCUCUGGCAGGCCAGAAGAGACACUGCACCCAGAGUUGGCUCGAUGCAUCGAUAUUUGGGAAAAUCAGCUCGUUUGCUUUGUCAUUUUUGUUUUUAGUUAAACACGGAUAAGGAAAAUGGGUAUUUCAUUUUUUUUUAAUUAUUUGUAUCCCUUUCAUGAGCUGUAACCUUAAUGUUAAUGUGUCCCAAUGAUGCUUGAAGUUGUCACGUCCGUUCCAGAGCACGCUCGGCCUGCACUUCCCUCGGCCGCACCCCUUUCGUUACUGUAAUGUUUGUCACCUGCUUCCUCUUGUUACCCUGUGUAUUUAAGCCCUGCCCGUGUGCCUCUCCCGGUCCGUGUCUACUGUUCUGUUCCGGUCCGUGCCCAGUGUUCCUGUUCCUGUCGUCUGGUUUUCCCCCGGUCUGUCUGGACGCUCACGGUCAGAAUUUUAACCUCUUGUCCAAGUGGACUUCUGUCUUUCUGUCGGUCAGUCGGUCUGUUUGCUGGCCGUUAGUCUCUAUCCCGUCUGUGUCUUCGGUUCCCCACCUACCUCCCUUCCAACUCCCUUUCCCUUUCCUGGUUCAAGCUGCAUUCCUGACCGAGGUUGCCUGGGGCUUUAUGCAGCGGUCGCUUCUCCGGCCCUAAUAAAAAAAAAAAAUGAAAACAAGUGUACUAUGUGUGUGAUAGUUACGCUUUAUAAAUUCAUUCAUGCAUUUAUUCAUCAUCCAAAAUGCCUAUCUAUUGCUAUUCUCCGCAUGUCAAAAUGUAUAAAGAUUUUUGGGGGGCUGGGACGGAUUAAUGGCAUUAUAGUUCAUUUCAACGCGGGAAAUAAGGGAGCUCUGCAUGCUUAUUGUAGAUAUUGUGAUUUACGGUCGCGUCAAACUGCACUGCAUCAUACUGAGAAGUGAAAUUAUUUUGGUCCCCCUAUAGCACCACUCACAAAUCACAUCCAUUUGAGACGGAGCGUGCUCAUUAGCAUUUUCAAAACUAAUGAAAGCAGUCGCCGCGCACGGAAACCAAUCGGGGAACGGUUGCUAUUAGUUACCACUAUGAAAAAGAAAUACAAAAUAUAAAGCUCUUAAUCAUAGCGUAGUGUUAACAUUACGAUGUGUGAAGAGGAGGAGGAGGAGGAGGGGGAGGAAGAUAAGGUGGAGAUGCUAAAGUGGCGCUUUGAAAGGAUCUCUGCGGGAGUAAUGCAGACCUCUCGCGCUUUCCUGGCCUCAUACGCGAUGGCCUGUGCAAAAUGCAAUUUUGCACGCAUUCCCCGUGACGCAAUACGCUGUUAUUUCCACAUCUAAUGGCAGUGUUUAUCCCGCGCAUACGCAUCACUUCCUUCAGCCUCACUGCGUGGCGUGCAGACGUUCUGCACAAGGUUUGAGAACUGCACGUGGUAAUGAAACCUUUGACAGCAAGUAACCAUCAAAAACGUGCCUGAGCUUUAGUUAAUAUGCAUGGACCUGACUCAAAGGGCCUUUGGAAAGUACAAAAAAAAUACCACUCAAAGCUUGACCACAUUUUGUAAUGGAGAGCUAUAAAACAAACCAAGGGAUAUGCACUUCUUUUUUUUUUUUUUUAACAACCUUGGCUCACUGUCCCUUAAAUGGCACUUCCAAGUACACUUCCUCGUCUUCCAACCGAUACGAAGUGAAGUGAUCGUGUUUAUUGGAACCCAAAUCCCGCGGUCGCUGCAGAUUUUCUCAGGCAACGCUCACCGUUGAUGGCAAAGUGUCUACCCUCGGAUAGGGCCAUUUGAAAAUAUUUUUUCACAUUUAGUUCCUGGCAUGGCCAAGCUAAAGCUGUUUGCAGGCCCAGCUUUAUGCCCAUUAACUGCUUUGGAAAGGUUACACCAUCUUAUUAUUAGCCAAUAAAAUCCCAUCAUUUUGUGCUGGCCUUUUCCUACCUCCAGCCGCGGCUUCCAAUAAAAGAGACACACGCUCAUAACCACAGUUAACAAGACAGUGGACAAAAUGAUGGCAUAAAAAUGAUGAAAGGAGUGAGGCUAAACAUUGAAGAUUUCAUUUGUCUUUAUUUCCAUGCCUCCUUUUUUUUCCAGUCUGAACUGGUUUUGUCCAGUUUGAACAAUGCUCAUGGUGCAAGCAGAUUGGGAGAUGCAAGACCGCAGCAGGAGGCGGUUUACUUCAGUAAACAACUAAGGCUCAGGUUCAGGAGUGUCCACAUGUCCCGGAUGUCGAUCUCGGGGUUUACAUGUGGUGACAGCUGAAACAGACCAACACAGAAAAAAUCAUCUCAUUUAAUCCAACAAUGACCAAUAAAGUGAACGAGGAGCACACUUUUGGGACAAUGGUGUCCAGUUCUGCGGCACAAUAAAAGUUGGUCUUAUAAAAAAAAAAAAAAAAA